GCUUUGGUGGCUGACGCAGGAUGACACGAGCUCUGAGCUCCGAGGAGGAAAGCGUGGAUGCAUCUGAGUCACCUUCCUCCUGGCAGCCUCAGCUGAAACAUGAAAUAUUUUGCAGUUGUUGGUCCUGCUGCUGAACUUCCUCCUCUGCAAAGAUCUGGGCACAUUUUUUUUGUCAGUGGUACCAGGAGCUACAGCUGUGGGAAUGAACGAGCUGGCCUACAGUGUUUCGACAGCUGCUGUUGACAGGGGAAAAAGCAUCUUUCACUGCAGAAAAGCCUGUCCUUCAUUUAGGGAAGCCAGCAGCUGUCAGAAGAGGAAAGCUGAAGAUUGACAGAGGAAAGACACAGCAAAAGUGCUCCCAGAACAUUGUAUAAAAAAAGACAAUCUUAAGAUGUUGACCUCUUAGAGAAGUGUGUAAAAUCAAAGAAAAAAACAGCAAUGAAAAUGUUCUGGUUAUUCCCUAAAUGGAAGGACUGUAGAUGCUGCAAGACCCUGCUGUUCAGCUGUUACUGAAACAUUGUCUUCAAAAACACCAAGUGGGGAAAUGUUGAUUUGUUUUGAUCUCAGGGGAAAUAAUGUAACUCAGCAACAAGCCCACCAGCAGCAGCAACUCUUAAUACACAGCAAGACAACUCACAGAGAAAUCACCUUGCUCCUGG
Molecule: long non-coding RNA, 659 nt
Organism: Serinus canaria (Common canary)
Lineage: Eukaryota; Metazoa; Chordata; Aves; Passeriformes; Fringillidae
Exons: 4
Source: RefSeq, a predicted model, not a curated record